UGGGGAAUAUUGGACAAUGGGGGCAACCCUGCCCCAGCAAUGCCGCGUGUGUGAAGAAGGCCUUCGGGUUGUAAAGCACUUUCGGUGGGGACAAACAAGGCGGAGCUAACAUCUCCGUCCCUGAUGGUACCCAAAGAAGAAGCACCGGCUAACUCUGUGCCAGCAGCCGCGGUAAUACAGAGGGUGCAAGCGUUAAUCGGAAUUACUGGGCGUAAAGCGCGCGUAGGCGGCUUGUUAAGUCGGAUGUGAAAUCCCCGGGCUCAACCUGGGAACUGCAUCCGAUACUGGCUGGCUAGAGUAUGGUAGAGGGAAGUGGAAUUCCAGGUGUAGCGGUGAAAUGCGUAGAUAUCUGGAGGAACAUCAGUGGCGAAGGCGGCUUCCUGGACCAACACUGACGCUGAGGCGCGAAAGCGUGGGGAGCAAACAGGAUUAGAUACCCUGGUAGUCCACGCCGUAAACGAUGUCAACUAGCCGUAGGGAGCAUCUGGCUCUUUGUGGCGCAGCUAACGCGAUAAGUUGACCGCCUGGGGAGUACGGCCGCAAGGCUA
Molecule: ribosomal RNA, 548 nt
Filed under: uncultured bacterium
Lineage: Bacteria
Description: bacterial SSU rRNA
Rfam family: Bacterial small subunit ribosomal RNA
Source: RNAcentral